GAUGAACGCUAGCGGGAGGCCUAACACAUGCAAGCCGAGCGGUAGAGUUUCUUCGGAAACUUGAGAGCGGCGCACGGGUGCGUAACACGUGUGCAACCUACCUUUAUCUGGGGGAUAGCCUUUCGAAAGGAAGAUUAAUACCCCAUAAUAUAAUGAUUGGCAUCAAUUAUUAUUGAAAACUCCGGUGGAUAGAGAUGGGCACGCGCAAGAUUAGAUAGUUGGUGAGGUAACGGCUCACCAAGUCAAUGAUCUUUAGGGGUCCUGAGAGGGAGAUCCCCCACACUGGUACUGAGACACGGACCAGACUCCUACGGGAGGCAGCAGUGAGGAAGAUUGGACAAUGGGUGAGAGCCUGAUCCAGCCAUCCCGCGUGAAGGAUGACGGUCCUAUGGAUUGUAAACUUCUUUUGUACAGGGAUAAACCUACCCUCGUGAGGGUAGCUGAAGGUACUGUACGAAUAAGCACCGGCUAACUCCGUG
Molecule: ribosomal RNA, 479 nt
Filed under: uncultured bacterium
Lineage: Bacteria
Description: partial 16S ribosomal RNA
Rfam family: Bacterial small subunit ribosomal RNA
Source: RNAcentral